This 234-nucleotide long non-coding RNA is filed under the name Mytilus galloprovincialis (Mediterranean mussel). Lineage: Eukaryota; Metazoa; Mollusca; Bivalvia; Mytilida; Mytilidae. The record is from RNAcentral.
UUCGUUAGAAAUAUCUCCCGUAGGAUAUUCCUUCAGUGGUUCAUGAAAAUCCCUACUACCAUCAAACAUCACGACAAAUGUCCCACCGUGCUGAAUAAAUAGCUGAUGAGUCAUAUCAUACGAUCGUUGACCACCAAAGUCGAUCAGAUCUGAAGGGGCAAUCUUGAUUUUAUAUUGACCGCUUUGAACUUCUUUUAAAAUGUCGUCACGUACAGCAAAUGCUUCAAUUUUGUU